RNAcentral lists this ribosomal RNA (425 nucleotides) under uncultured bacterium. RNAcentral's name for it is "partial 16S ribosomal RNA". It matches the Rfam family "Bacterial small subunit ribosomal RNA", at positions 354 to 796 of the family's 1533-position model. The record is from RNAcentral.
GUGGGGAAUCUUGCGCAAUGGGCGAAAGCCUGACGCAGCCAUGCCGCGUGGAUGAUGAAGGUCUUAGGAUUGUAAAAUCCUUUCACCGGUGAAGAUAAUGACUGUAGCCGGAGAAGAAGCCCCGGCUAACUUCGUGCCAGCAGCCGCGGUAAUACGCAGGGGGCUAGCGUUGCUCGGAUUUACUGGGCGUAAAGGGCGCGUAGGCGGACAAUUAAGUCAGGGGUGAAAUCCCGGGGCUCAACCUCGGAACUGCCUUUGAUACUGGGUGUCUUGAGUAUGAGAGAGGUGUGUGGAACUCCAAGUGUAGAGGUGAAAUGCGUAGAUAUUCGGAAGAACACCAGUGGCGAAGGCGACACACUGGCUCAUUACUGACGCUGAGGCGCGAAAGCGUGGGGAGCAAACAGGAUUAGAUACCCCUGUAGUCC